AGUGAACGCUGGCGGUAGGCCUAACACAUGCAAGUCGAACGGCAGCACAGUAAGAGCUUGCUCUUACGGGUGGCGAGUGGCGGACGGGUGAGGAAUACAUCGGAAUCUACUUUUUCGUGGGGGAUAACGUAGGGAAACUUACGCUAAUACCGCAUACGACCUACGGGUGAAAGCAGGGGAUCUUCGGACCUUGCGCGAUUGAAUGGGCCGAUGUCGGAUUAGCUAGUUGGCGGGGUAAAGGCCCACCAAGGCGACGAUCCGUAGCUGGUCUGAGAGGAUGAUCAGCCACACUGGAACUGAGACACGGUCCAGACUCCUACGGGAGGCAGCAGUGGGGAAUAUUGGACAAUGGGCGCAAGCCUGAUCCAGCCAUACCGCGUGGGUGAAGAGGGCCUUCGGGUUGUAAAGCCCUUUUGUUGGGAAAGAAAAGCAGCAGGUUAAUACCCCGCUGUUCUGACGGUACCCAAAGAAUAAGCACCGGCUAACUUCGUG
RNAcentral lists this ribosomal RNA (492 nucleotides) under uncultured bacterium. RNAcentral describes it as "partial 16S ribosomal RNA". It matches the Rfam family "Bacterial small subunit ribosomal RNA", at positions 29 to 507 of the family's 1533-position model. The record is from RNAcentral.